UUUCUCUAAGUGGCCUGUGAGGGCGUCUGCUCCCUCGACCCUCAGCGUUUCUUGACUUUUCGGUCUGGCUCGCUUUUUGUUUUGAGCCACACGCACCACAAAAAAUAGAAAACCUUGCAAGAGCCUGGAAAUUACAGAAUUGAUGACAGAGGGAACUGCUUCUCAGUGAAGAUGAAAUAUGUGAGUCUUCUCAUCACCUCUUAGCCAAUUAAUUAACAUUUUCUCCAAAUAUGCUGCUGGUCACCUGUCUCUUUGGUGUGAGAGCUCCUGAGCCUGAGGGUCAUUGGGCACGCAACUUGGGUCAGAGAUCCUCCCUUCCCAGCUCAUCACCUCACCCAGACACUGGGAGCUGAGCCAAGCCAGAUUCAGUGGAGGCUUCCAGUAUGGCCUUGAUACAAAGAUUGUGUUGAUUCCUCUUGGGGGCAAGAAGAAAGGGAAGAGCGGCUUGCUGUUUUCAAAGGAAGCGGGAAGAAUGUGGAGGGAAUGGCACAGAAGACAUUCCUGCGUAGUGUUGUCAGGUCUUACUGAGAUGGAUGCUACUACUGGUGUGGUCCUUUUCCCUGUAUGAAUCAAAAAUGACUGCGCUGAUACAUAACUGCACAAAGGGCAGUCAUAAUAAGAGGAGCAAAUAUUUUGAAAUGAAGACCUAACGGACAUUGUCCUGUAGAGAUUCCUUUCCAUUCACAAAGAGGAUGGGGAAAGAAAGACAAAAGAAAGGACCAUGUGGGGAAACUUUAUGGGCCAACCUAAGAAAUCGUUCACAUCACCUCCACCUCUGUUCUUUUGGCAAGAACUCAGAUACAUAGCAACACCAAACACCAGGGGAAACCAGCGAAGGUAGACAAGAUUUGGUGGCAGCGGUGGAAUCUAAGGAGACUUUGAUGGCAUUGGGGACAAUGAGAAAUACUGGUGUAGUACCCACAAACUCUUCUGAGUUCUCUUUCUCGCCAUUUCUGAGGGCUAUGGCUAACUGCUAAUUUCCCUGAAGAAAAAUAUCUGCUUAAAAUGUAAAGACUUGGUUCUAAGCUUUAUAAGAGAAAAGAGGAGAACACUUGGCCCGUUUUGACAAGGACCUACGCUGAGUGUGUGAUCCCAGGGCGACACCAGGCGUGGCUCCCACCCUGAGGCCGUCCUCUAAAUGUCGACCAGUUGGCUCCAGUUUGUACUCUGAGAUAAAAAGAAGUUGACUGGUUUCUUCUGUCUUUGUGCACAGAGGAGAUGGAGAUAACAGCUCUCAACUAUUGAGCAUUUACUCCUCUGUUCCAGGUCCUCAAAUCUGUCAAGACAAUUACUUGUGCACUGCUCCAUCAGGUGAUAAGAUGUCCUCUGCUCUGAGAAUCUAUGUGGAAAUUGAGGCAUGCAUAAAGUCUACUCACUUGGAUGAAGCAGGUUCUCUGUUGGCAAGCGCAAAACAAAGCAUGGCCGUGAGAAGUGGAUUGGAGGUGGAAACACUUCAUGCACUUGCAGGCGGAGAACCGCUCAGAGGCUUCGGUGUCUCCUCACUGCCUCUCUUCUCGGAAAGCCCACGCUGGUGAGAAGACUCAGGAAGAGGGCCCGGCGGGAGGUUAAACCCAGUCUGCCUUCUCCCUGCUCCGGAGUUGAGGUGGCCAGCAGCACGGAGACAGGCUCUGGGGUGAAUUUGCGUCCCGGACUUCCCCAUCUUCCACAGGCUGCCAAACUCCUCAGCUCACGGCUGCCUUCCUCCAUCUUCAAAGCUAGUGAUGAACCAGCAAAUAUUUCGGAAUUCAGUAUGUUCCCUGUAAAAGGGAAGGGACUCUGCUGUUUUGUCAACAUGACACUGCAACAAGGAGAUGGAGAUUUCCACACCACGUUGUUAAUUACCUGGCAUAUGUCACAUAACUGAUCAACUUUGUAUGUCAUGAGAGAGCCUGCCUACCACCGGAAUCCCAGCGGAGACCUGGAGAAAUGAGACAUGGAGUCCUGGCAGCGCCGACAUCCUUAUCCAGCCCAUGAGACUCUGGUUCCCACAGGCCCUCUUUCAGUUGUCCAAGCCACCCCUGUGUCUCUCCCAGCUGGAUGGUAACUGUCUUCGGGUGAGGAUGGUCCUGCUCUGCCUUCUCGAGGAUCAAAACCUGGGCUCCAGCUGCCCUCAGAGCCGUAACCAGGAGGAAAACUCUCUGGUUUCUUCCUUGUCCGGUGGGAUUGUUCAGAUGCAACUGAAGCACCUGCAGACACAAGGACUUCCCGUUCCUCACAGUGGACGCUACCUGGACACGCAGAUCUGCCUGAGGUUUGGAGAAAAUUGGGUCUGCAGAUGCCUACUUGCGGAGCAGCAGGGAGGGCUGACUGGAGUGCUGGACGGAAAGUCCCUCUCCCAGGGCUGGGUAGGUGGAAAGCAUUCAGCUGAGGUGGGUUAUUGCAAUCCUUAUCUUCAACGUCUCCCCCUUUCUCAUGUCCUAACUUGGGGUCUGGGGGUCUACACUGGAUUCUCUCUGUAAGUCAUCACUUGAGCAGCACCAUACAAGGACUGGGGAGGCAGAGGCUGGACUCUUCUGUCUGUCACGUCCUUUUCCAAGUUGAAAUUAGUCCAACAAUUAUUUAUCGGCCCCAUCCCAGCACUGGGCUCUGCGCGGAGCAUAUGAAAGGGAGUGAGGCAUGGUCUCUGUCCUCAGCAGACGCUCUACAGACAAUGUAACAAAAAAAAGGUAAAUAAAUAAAAUUUCAACAUAAAAUGGCAAAUGCCACAGUUGCUUGUUCAAAUCAGGAGAGAUGUUUGGAUGAAGGGACCCUUGAGCUGAGUGAGUUAGGAAAUACUUUUGCAGGAAAAGGGUUAUGGCUUUUUGAAUGCAUGGAUUACAUCACUGCCCAAGGCAUUGGGCCAAACCGUCAUCAGCAAGAUUUAUGCUUGAGUGUUUCAGAAAAUAAGAGCUUCACAGCUCUGUUCUUUUAAGCCCAAGCCUGGCACAGGGAGCGCUUGCGGUGGGGGCCUGGAUAAUCCCGGGGUGCCCUGCUUUUCCAGGGACAGGUCUGACGUUAAUUUAAAGCAAUGCAGUCAGUCCACUUGACUGGAGUAUGGUGGCUGCCUGAGCAUCCUGGCCAGCACAGAGGGGCUCCUGCCAGCGGGUAGCAACCUUGUGAUGAAGCACAAGAGACGGCAGGCUGGCUCCCUGGCUUCCUGGGUCUCGGCUCGUUAUUGCCUCCGCCCAUCCCCUCCGGUCUGGCUUCCUGGAGCAGAAGAACCCCGAGAUGGCUGAACCUGGAGUGAACAAGGUGACGGUAAAGUCGCUGAAAAUGCCUCAUUCGGCCAACAUCACAAUCAACAAAAGCAAAUCCCAGCAUCAUUUCUCAGCUGCGUUAAUUCAUGCAACAGUACAAGCAACAGUCUAGGACCGAGACCCGCUGAGAUGGCCCGGGUGUGGUGAGUGUAAGGCAGCACCUCCCCGAAAGCCGUGGGAAUCCCUUCACCUCACGCUUGUAUGUUCUCAGUAGAAGCUUUGCAGUGUUUCCAAGGCACUGGGUGGUGGCCACAGUUCUUAAUAGAAUAUAAAAUUAAAGUCUUUAGCAAACCCUAAUAACACCCUAAUUUCAGUCGAUGAAAACCAAGUUUCAGUUACCCAUGUUUUUUAACUUUAUUAGUAAAUAGUCCUUAGUUGUGCAUCAAAAUGAACAUCUACAGGUUUGGGUCUUCUGUCUCCAAAGAAAAGACGUACAUCCUGGGAUACAUUUAUAACCCAUCUGGGAAGACUCCUGUAGCCUGCAGUGGACUCAGGGCCGCACCGUAGGAAACUCUGCUCUAGUGAAACCAGCAUCCGUUCCUCUUCUCCCAGCCCCAUGGAUUGGCUUCUCACGUUUUCUGUCUUGGGCGGAGCUGAGGAGUGUCCAGCAGGGCCGAGAGAAGCAGGAACAGGGCUGCAGAUCUCUAGCAGGACGAGAAAUCAGAAGUGUAUCCAGGCAGUGGAAAGACAAAGGUUAAGGAGCACACUGUGAGCUAAGAUCUGAAUUCACAGAGUCACAGAAAAUGAAAGGUGAUUGGGACCUAGAAAAUCUUUCAGCCUGAACCUCCCAGUUCAUAGGGAGACAGUGACUGGAGAUCUUAAGAAGUAGGCGUGAUGGCCCCCCCCCCUCACGGUGGCCGUCAGCUCAGCGAAAGGAUGUGUGCAAAGCAGGCAGCUCGGCUUAGCGUGUGAGUGACAGAAGCAGAACUCAGCCCCCCAGUUUAGAGGAAGUGCUCUGCCGGGCAGCGCAGGCGCACGGGAGACUCAGCGCAGCGACGGCGAUCUCGGGAGCGCGGCUGCGCCUCGCGCUGGUCCGCGCGGAGGGGUUUCGUAUGUGUCCGUUUGGGCGGCAGUGACCUCAAGCCCGGCGUCUGACUCCAGCCAGUCAAGGCGGCCGUUCUGUGCCCCUGUCCCGCGGCAGGGGCCUCUGGGUAGCACGUGCCACAUCUGUGUGUGUCUGAUGUCAGCUGCUGUCGCGACCUCUUUGGAAAAAAAAUACAUACCUCCUCUUAAUUUUUUUAAAUAAGGGAAGUACUUACUUACAGUUACGUUUGCUGAUAAAUUACUGUGAUCGUGACCUCUUGGGAAAAUAGAAAGGGUUUAGAAUCCAGUUCAGGUUGAGGGGGUGGGAAUCCCAGUAUCAGGAGGUAACCACAAAAUCAGGAUAUUUCAUUAUUUUGACUGUGUAUUAUUUCAUCUGUGCAUUUAUUUCCAUGUAUAU
Non-coding RNA from Vicugna pacos (alpaca), 4677 nucleotides. The record is from RefSeq and is a predicted model, not a curated record. Lineage: Eukaryota; Metazoa; Chordata; Mammalia; Artiodactyla; Camelidae.